CACGUGAGUAACCUGCCCCCGAGAGCGGGAUAGCCCUGGGAAACUGGGAUUAAUACCGCAUAGUAUCGAAAGAUUAAAGCAGCAAUGCGCUUGGGGAUGGGCUCGCGGCCUAUUAGUUAGUUGGUGAGGUAACGGCUCACCAAGGCGAUGACGGGUAGCCGGUCUGAGAGGAUGUCCGGCCACACUGGAACUGAGACACGGUCCAGACACCUACGGGUGGCAGCAGUCGAGAAUCAUUCACAAUGGGGGAAACCCUGAUGGUGCGACGCCGCGUGGGGGAAUGAAGGUCUUCGGAUUGUAAACCCCUGUCAUGUGGGAGCAAAUUAAAAAGAUAGUACCACAAGAGGAAGAGACGGCUAACUCUGUGCCAGCAGCCGCGGUAAUACAGAGGUCUCAAGCGUUGUUCGGAAUCACUGGGCGUAAAGCGUGCGUAGGCUGUUUCGUAAGUCGUGUGUGAAAGGCGCGGGCUCAACCCGCGGACGGCACAUGAUACUGCGAGACUAGAGUAAUGGAGGGGGAACCGGAAUUCUCGGUGUAGCAGUGAAAUGCGUAGAUAUCGAGAGGAACACUCGUGGCGAAGGCGGGUUCCUGGACAUUAACUGACGCUGAGGCACGAAGGCCAGGGGAGCGAAAGGGAUUAGAUACCCCUGUAGUCCUGGCAGUAAACGGUGCACGCUUGGUGUGCGGGGAAUCGACCCCCUGCGUGCCGGAGCUAACGCGUUAAGCGUGCCGCCUGGGGAGUACGGUCGCAAGAUUAAAACUCAAAGAAAUUGACGGGGACCCGCACAAGCGGUGGAGUAUGUGGCUUAAUUCGAUGCAACGCGAAGAACCUUACCUGGGCUUGACAUGUAAUGAACAACAUGUGAAAGCAUGCGACUCUUCGGAGGCGUUACACAGGUGCUGCAUGGCCGUCGUCAGCUCGUGUCGUGAGAUGUUUGGUUAAGUCCAGCAACGAGCGCAACCCCUGUUGCCAGUUACCAGCACGUGAAGGUGGGGACUCUGGCGAGACUGCCCAGAUCAACUGGGAGGAAGGUGGGGACGACGUCAGGUCAGUAUGGCCCUUAUGCCCAGGGCUGCACACGUACUACAAUGCCCAGUACAGAGGGGGCCGAAGCCGCGAGGCGGAGGAAAUCCUAAAAACUGGGCCCAGUUCGGACUGUAGGCUGCAACCCGCCUACACGAAGCCGGAAUCGCUAGUAAUGGCGCAUCAGCUACGGCGCCGUGAAUACGUUCCCGGGUCUUGUACACACCGCCCG
RNAcentral lists this ribosomal RNA (1256 nucleotides) under Akkermansia muciniphila. RNAcentral's name for it is "bacterial SSU rRNA". It matches the Rfam family "Bacterial small subunit ribosomal RNA", at positions 114 to 1396 of the family's 1533-position model. The record is from RNAcentral. Lineage: Bacteria; Pseudomonadati; Verrucomicrobiota; Verrucomicrobiia; Verrucomicrobiales; Akkermansiaceae.